Molecule: long non-coding RNA, 367 nt
Filed under: Equus caballus (horse)
Lineage: Eukaryota; Metazoa; Chordata; Mammalia; Perissodactyla; Equidae
Description: lncRNA (ENSECAG00000050229.1)
Source: RNAcentral
GUUGAUACUGGGAAGAAGACAAUAGUAUGAGUUCUUCUACACAGGAUGCUACCACAGUGUGGCUUGAUGAGCGGUGCAUAGGUCCAUGCCCAGGAUCCAAACUGGCAAAUUCUGGGCCGCCAAAGCAGAACAUGCAAGCAUAACCACUUGGCCACAGGGCCAGCCCCACAAAACAUGGAUCUUUAUGAAGGUAUGAUGAGCAUCCAAAAUGACGUACAUGAACCUCAAAAAGUAAAAUAAUUUCAGUUAUUAAAUAUACAAAAAAAAAAAAUUCCUGAAGACAAAUGAAAAUGAAAACACAAUAUGCCAAAAUCUAUGGGAUACAGCAAAAGUGGUUCUAAGAGGGAAGUUUAUAGCAAUACAGGCC